GCACUCUUACUGUUCUGUGACUUGCACUCAUCAGUCGCUGUCUAAGGUCGCUGUCCCUGUCCACAUAGUUACGUUAUAACCUCAACGAAACUAAACGUCAAACUGUUUCAACCACUGAGCAAGUUUUCAACUCUUCACAAGGUAUAUGAAUAAAAUCACCCUCGGAAUUGUAUUAUGAAAAUAAAUAAUAAUAUUAUAUUGGCAGCUACUCCGGCCAAAAGACCACCACCGCCAACCGGAGCUAUGAUGGCGUCAGUCUGCGGAAGCUGUCGCAGAAUUUCAAUCCCAAUGGAACCAGACGCUGCGAUAACGUUCGGAUGGUCAUAUCUAUAAGAUUUGCACAACGAGGUAUUAAUGAAAGAUAUUUAAAUAUUAACUUGAACUGCUUGUCUCCAGAUGGAUGAUUUGAAAUGAAAUGAAAUGAAAUACGUUUAUUAUGGAUACAUAAAAGAUACAAAUAAAAUAAAACAAAAAACUUAAAUCUAAUUAUCUAACUUAAAUAUAUGUAUGCCAUUGUCAUGAUUUAAAGUACAGUGUAGCUUUCUUCGUCUUCCAUCUCACUGAAUGUCCGCUUUCUCGUCUGAAUUGCUCAUUACCAAUGCAUUAACCAAGAAAUAAAUUCAAUUAGACAAUUUUUAAAUAUCUAUUCCUUUUAGCCUAUAAUUAUAUCAUUGCUCUUUUCGAAUCAGCAUCGGUAACGAUAACCUUAAAGUAAAGUUACCCAUUUAUAUACACUUGUCCUCUUUUUUUAAGCAUAACGAAGGCUUGUCCUUUAGCUUCGUCAAGAUUUUCUCCGAAUGAGACCACAAAUGCACCCAAUUCAUGACAUCUUCCUACAUAGAUAAUUGAUGAAUUUGAUGGAAGUACCACAGUAACUGGUAUUUUCAAGCGUUGACCGUAGUAUGCUAAAGCCUGAAAGUAUUACGUGUUAAAAUUCGUUUUUCAAAGUCAAACCGUAAACCGUACAGUUAAGUUGAAAAGACCAAGUGGAUGGACCACUUGAUCAUAUAAAAAAUUACUUGGUAUUUUGAAGUCAUAAAUUUUUUUUUUAUACACUAACCAGGGCCCAGUUUCCUAAAGAUGCUGUAAUAACACCUCGACUUCGCUGUUCUUCGUUUAACAUUGAUAAUGCAUAAAAUGCUUUUCUCUCAUUGUAACUGCCGUAUAAUAAAGGAUAGUAUAAAAUAGGAAUGCGUUAAUAUACUCAA
Long non-coding RNA from Colias croceus (clouded yellow), 1208 nucleotides. RefSeq lists it as uncharacterized. The record is from RefSeq and is a predicted model, not a curated record. The transcript has 3 exons. Lineage: Eukaryota; Metazoa; Arthropoda; Insecta; Lepidoptera; Pieridae.